CGAGCGGGGUGAUGGUGCUUGCACUAUCACUUAGCGGCGGACGGGUGAGUAAUGCUUAGGAAUCUGCCUAUUAGUGGGGGACAACAUUUCGAAAGGAAUGCUAAUACCGCAUACGUCCUACGGGAGAAAGCAGGGGAUCUUCGGACCUUGCGCUAAUAGAUGAGCCUAAGUCGGAUUAGCUAGUUGGUGGGGUAAAGGCCUACCAAGGCGACGAUCUGUAGCGGGUCUGAGAGGAUGAUCCGCCACACUGGGACUGAGACACGGCCCAGACUCCUACGGGAGGCAGCAGUGGGGAAUAUUGGACAAUGGGCGCAAGCCUGAUCCAGCCAUGCCGCGUGUGUGAAGAAGGCCUUAUGGUUGUAAAGCACUUUAAGCGAGGAGGAGGCUACUUUAGAUAAUACCUAGAGAUAGUGGACGUUACUCGCAGAAUAAGCACCGGCUAACUCUGUGCCAGCAGCCGCGGUAAUACAGAGGGUGCAAGCGUUAAUCGGAUUUACUGGGCGUAAAGCGCGCGUAGGCGGCUAAUUAAGUCAAAUGUGAAAUCCCCGAGCUUAACUUGGGAAUUGCAUUCGAUACUGGUUAGCUAGAGUGUGGGAGAGGAUGGUAGAAUUCCAGGUGUAGCGGUGAAAUGCGUAGAGAUCUGGAGGAAUACCGAUGGCGAAGGCAGCCAUCUGGCCUAACACUGACGCUGAGGUGCGAAAGCAUGGGGAGCAAACAGGAUUAGAUACCCUGGUAGUCCAUGCCGUAAACGAUGUCUACUAGCCGUUGG
This 769-nucleotide ribosomal RNA is filed under the name Acinetobacter rhizosphaerae. RNAcentral describes it as "bacterial SSU rRNA". It matches the Rfam family "Bacterial small subunit ribosomal RNA", at positions 63 to 826 of the family's 1533-position model. Lineage: Bacteria; Pseudomonadati; Pseudomonadota; Gammaproteobacteria; Moraxellales; Moraxellaceae. The record is from RNAcentral.